CAAUAGCGUAUAUUAACGUUGUUGCAGUUAAAAAGCUCGUAGUUGGAUUUCUGGAGGGAGCGUCGGCCCGUAUUUACGAGUGCGUGACGUCUCUGUCCAUCCUUGCGGGAAGGCACGGCAUUGAUUUGUUGUGUCGGAUCGCAUCAUUUACUGUGAAAAAAUUAGAGUGUUCAAAGCAGGCUUUCGCUUGAAUACAUUAGCAUGGAAUAAUAAGAUAGGACUUUGGUGCUAUUUUGUUGGUUGAGCCUAAAGUAAUGAUUAAUAGGGAUAGUUGGGGGCACCUGUAUUGCGUUGUCAGAGAUGAAAUUCUUGGAUUUACGCAAGACAAACAGCUGCGAAANCGNNNGCCAAGGAUGUUUUCAUNAA
This 366-nucleotide ribosomal RNA is filed under the name uncultured eukaryote. Its description in RNAcentral is "partial 18S ribosomal RNA". It matches the Rfam family "Eukaryotic small subunit ribosomal RNA", at positions 592 to 976 of the family's 1831-position model. The record is from RNAcentral.